Molecule: ribosomal RNA, 601 nt
Filed under: Marinobacter shengliensis
Lineage: Bacteria; Pseudomonadati; Pseudomonadota; Gammaproteobacteria; Pseudomonadales; Marinobacteraceae
Description: bacterial SSU rRNA
Rfam family: Bacterial small subunit ribosomal RNA
Source: RNAcentral
GCACCCCGCUGACGAGCGGCGGACGGGUGAGUAAUGCUUAGGAAUCUGCCCAGUAGUGGGGGAUAGCCCGGGGAAACCCGGAUUAAUACCGCAUACGUCCUACGGGAGAAAGCAGGGGAUCUUCGGACCUUGCGCUACUGGAUGAGCCUAAGUCGGAUUAGCUAGUUGGUGGGGUAAAGGCCUACCAAGGCGACGAUCCGUAGCUGGUCUGAGAGGAUGAUCAGCCACAUCGGGACUGAGACACGGCCCGAACUCCUACGGGAGGCAGCAGUGGGGAAUAUUGGACAAUGGGGGCAACCCUGAUCCAGCCAUGCCGCGUGUGUGAAGAAGGCUUUCGGGUUGUAAAGCACUUUCAGCGAGGAGGAAGGCUCUGAAGUUAAUACCUUCAGGGAUUGACGUUACUCGCAGAAGAAGCACCGGCUAACUCCGUGCCAGCAGCCGCGGUAAUACGGAGGGUGCAAGCGUUAAUCGGAAUUACUGGGCGUAAAGCGCGCGUAGGUGGUUAGGUAAGCGAGAUGUGAAAGCCCCGGGCUUAACCUGGGAACGGCAUUUCGAACUGUCUGACUAGAGUGUGGUAGAGGGUAGUGGAAUUUCCUGUGUA